This is a long non-coding RNA of Dromaius novaehollandiae (emu), 1189 nucleotides long. RefSeq lists it as uncharacterized. Lineage: Eukaryota; Metazoa; Chordata; Aves; Casuariiformes; Dromaiidae. The record is from RefSeq and is a predicted model, not a curated record. The transcript is spliced from 3 exons.
GAGCAAGAGACAGGGGGGCUUCUCAGAGUUUUCCUACCAAGUGAUGAGCCUCAGCCUGACACCAGAAUUAAGAACAGAGAAAAACUGAAUCUUGCCACAACCCAUUAACCAUUUCAUCUCUGGUAACAUCUCAAGAGACUGAGUGAAAAUGUAUGAAAACACCAUUGAUCUUUUGGUAAGGAAAUUAUCCAUUGCCUUCCCAAGGUAAAGUCAAAGUGUUUACUUUGGGGUCAGUUGAGCAUUUCAUGAAAAUGUAAGCUAAAAUAAUAUUCUAGAAUGGGUAACAAUGUUUUUGGUGCACCUGGACUGUUACUUGAGCUUUUUAAAAAUUUUAUUUUUGUUUGCUGGCUAAAUGACAAAUUGUAUUUUAAAAAUUCAAGACAACCCGGUGUGGAGAGCUUUCAGGGGAAAAAAAAAAAAAAAAGAAGAAGAAGAACAGACAACCCUUCCCCAAAAUUUGUCCUGUAUGCAUUGAAAUAUAUUUUUUCAUACAGCUUUACCUCACUUACCUGAGUUUUGACUUUUUUACAAAAGACAGUGAAAAACAUUUCAAAAUGAAAACCCAGAAUAACUUCUGGAAACUGUACUAAGAAUAGUUUCAACAUAUCUGAUUUUUCCUUUGUUUGUAUCCCUCAGAACUACUUAUCAAAUUUCUCUUGAAUUCAUAAAUGCUGAAGCAGCAUUUUUUUGAAAGUAAUUUAUUCUUUUUGCCCGUCUCUGCAUGUUAUGUCAUCAGAUGUUGAUCAUAAAAAUACCAGAUGUGUAGCUAUCCCUUUAGAGUAGACUCCUAUAUACUUUCUGGGUUUUAUAAUAUAUAUAUUUUCUGUUGUUUGUAUGGUAUUAUUCACUUCUCUUCCUUCCACCUCAGUAAUGAUCUUGGAUUUCUGGUUUCAGUCAGACUUUCAUGAUGAUCUGCUAUUGUUAAUACUGUUACUUCUUUUUGUUCUUGCUAAGAUAGUGAAUCAGAGAAUCAGUGAUUUGCCCAUCUCUGACCGUGCUCUGCACUUCAGAGAAGAAGGAAGACUUGUUAACUCUCUCGUCCCCCUUCCAUCAGAUGAUAAACUGGGGAUAUGGUGAUGCCAAAAUCAUAUAUAUCUACAAAUUAUUUUGAGAUCUUUGGAAGCAAGACUGCAGAACACUAAGAAAUAUUACUAGAUUAUAUUUACUUUUCCAGAAUCUCUGAAAUGGG